GCCUAUUUCUCAAACCUGGUUUGAGAGCUAUCAACCAAUCAGGAUGCAGCACUGGGUGGAGAUAAUUUAUGCUCGAUUGAUUUUAUCCAAAUAAUUCACCGCCAAAACAAUCUGCGAUAGUAUCUGGUCAGCCCGAUUUUAGUGCAAUUGAAAUCUCUCAAUCUCUCGAUCCUUUCCUUAAAAUCUAAAGAUGGUAGAAAUGCAGCUGAUUCAGCAUAAUGAGCUGGUGUACCUGGAGGAGGAGCUGGAGCAAUAUAUAGCAGCACAACCGGGCAGAGGCCUCUGAGUCUGAGAUUGGGAAAACCCGCUUGAUGAUGAGCCUUUUGUUUUAGAUUGAGGUAAUUCGAUCUAAAGGAUGCACCGUGAGGAGGCGGCAUGCCGUGUCAUAUUCAUCUGUUUGCCGAAUGGAGAGUAGUGAGGGAUGUUUCCGAAGCUGUUGUCAGAAGAAAGGGACAAGUCAUGAAGUUUCCUACAAGUUACAACAAGGCAAAUAGUGACUACUAUUCAGAAGCAGUUUUUCCAGUACUGCAGAUUUCCAGGAGUUGCUGUUGAUGGGACACA
Strongylocentrotus purpuratus (purple sea urchin) is the source of this 561-nucleotide long non-coding RNA. RefSeq lists it as uncharacterized. NCBI's taxonomy places the organism in Eukaryota, Metazoa, Echinodermata, Echinoidea, Camarodonta, Strongylocentrotidae. The transcript is spliced from 3 exons. The record is from RefSeq and is a predicted model, not a curated record.